This 458-nucleotide ribosomal RNA is filed under the name uncultured bacterium. RNAcentral's name for it is "partial 16S ribosomal RNA". It matches the Rfam family "Bacterial small subunit ribosomal RNA", at positions 338 to 795 of the family's 1533-position model. The record is from RNAcentral.
CCUACGGGGGGCAGCAGUGGGGAAUAUUGCACAAUGGGGGAAACCCUGAUGCAGCGACGCCGCGUGAGUGAAGAAGUAAUUCGUUACGUAAAGCUCUAUCAGCAGGGAAGAAACACUGACCUUACGGUCAGCAGACGGUACCUGAGUAAGAAGCCCCGGCUAACUACGUGCCAGCAGCCGCGGUAAUACGUAGGGGGCAAGCGUUAUCCGGAUUUACUGGGUGUAAAGGGAGCGUAGGCGGUGUGCCAAGUCUGGUGUGAAAUGCCGCAGCAUAACUGCGGAGGGUCAUUGGAAACUGGAGAACUAGAGUGCAGGAGAGGUAAGUGGAAUUCCAAGUGUAGCGGUGAAAUGCGUAGAGAUAAGGAGGAACACCAGUGGCGAAGGCGGCUUACUGGACCGUAACUGACGCUGAGGUGCGAAAGCGUGGGGAGCAAACAGGAUUAGAUACCCGAGUAGUC